This 408-nucleotide ribosomal RNA is filed under the name uncultured bacterium. RNAcentral describes it as "bacterial SSU rRNA". It matches the Rfam family "Bacterial small subunit ribosomal RNA", at positions 976 to 1381 of the family's 1533-position model. The record is from RNAcentral.
UAGCCUUGAUAUCCUUGGAAUCUCUCAGAGAUGAGAGAGUGCUAGUUUACUAGAGCCAAGUGACAGGUGCUGCACGGCUGUCGUCAGCUCGUGUCGUGAGAUGUUGGGUUAAGUCCCGCAACGAGCGCAACCCUCGUCCUUAGUUGCUAACAGUUCGGCUGAGCACUCUAAGGAGACUGCCUUCGUAAGGAGGAGGAAGGUGAGGACGACGUCAAGUCAUCAUGGCCCUUAUGGCUAGGGCUACACACGUGCUACAAUGGGGGGGACAAAGAGAAGCAAUACCGCGAGGUGGAGCAAAUCUUAAAACCCUCUCUCAGUUCGGAUUGGAGUCUGCAACUCGACUCCAUGAAGCUGGAAUCGCUAGUAAUCGUAGAUCAGCUAUGCUACGGUGAAUACGUUCCCGGGUCU